UACGUAGGAGGCAAGCGUUGUCCGGAGUUACUGGGCGUAAAGCGCGCGCAGGCGGUCAGUCAAGUUUGGGGUGACAGUUCCCGGCUUAACCGGGAAAGUGCUUCAAAAACUGGUUGACUUGAGGGCUUCAGAGGGAUGCGGAACUCCGGGUGGAGUGGUGAAAUGCGUAGAUAUCCGGAAGAACACCAAAGGCGAAGGCAGCAUCCUGGGAAGUACCUGACGCUCAGGUGCGAAAGCUAGGGGAG
RNAcentral lists this ribosomal RNA (245 nucleotides) under uncultured bacterium. RNAcentral describes it as "partial 16S ribosomal RNA". It matches the Rfam family "Bacterial small subunit ribosomal RNA", at positions 524 to 768 of the family's 1533-position model. The record is from RNAcentral.